RNAcentral lists this small RNA (67 nucleotides) under Bacillus solimangrovi. RNAcentral describes it as "Bacillaceae-1 RNA". It matches the Rfam family "Bacillaceae-1 RNA". The record is from Rfam by way of RNAcentral. Lineage: Bacteria; Bacillati; Bacillota; Bacilli; Caryophanales; Bacillaceae.
UAUAAAGGAAGCCCUGCUAAAGCCUGCCACGUCCUGUGGCAAACGUGGGGUCAACACAUCCUGUUCA